GGGUAAAGCUAGGGGUAUCUGGAGUUCCAGAUUGAGAGAGUCCCUUAGAACCUGAUUCGGUUAACACCGACGGAGGGAAGCUUUGCCAGUUUCUA
This 95-nucleotide non-coding RNA is filed under the name Piscirickettsia sp. RNAcentral describes it as "TPP sequence". It matches the Rfam family "TPP riboswitch aptamer (THI element)". Rfam says of the family: Vitamin B(1) in its active form thiamin pyrophosphate (TPP) is an essential coenzyme that is synthesised by coupling of pyrimidine and thiazole moieties in bacteria. The previously detected thiamin-regulatory element, thi box was extended, resulting in a new, highly conserved RNA secondary structure, the THI element, which is widely distributed in eubacteria and also occurs in some archaea. The record is from RNAcentral. Lineage: Bacteria; Pseudomonadati; Pseudomonadota; Gammaproteobacteria; Thiotrichales; Piscirickettsiaceae.